GCCGACGUCUCCUAACCCGGUAUGGAGCUCGUCUCGAAAACGAGUGCUCGCAAGGGCUUCCAGGUUCAAAUCCUGGCGUCGGCG
Molecule: transfer RNA, 84 nt
Filed under: Nanobdellota archaeon
Lineage: Archaea; Nanobdellati; Nanobdellota
Description: tRNA-Ser
Rfam family: tRNA
About the family: Transfer RNA (tRNA) molecules are approximately 80 nucleotides in length. Their secondary structure includes four short double-helical elements and three loops (D, anti-codon, and T loops).
Source: RNAcentral